CCCUUAGAUGUCCUGGGCCGCACGCGCGCUACACUGAUGAAUUCAACGAGCCUAGCCUUGUCCGAAAGGUCCGGGUAAUCUCUGAAACUUCAUCGUGAUGGGGAUAGAUCAUUGCAAUUAUUGAUCUUCAACGAGGAAUUCCUAGUAAGCGCAAGUCAUCAGCUUGCGUUGAUUACGUCCCUGCCCUUUGUACACACCGCCCGUCGCUUGUACCGAUUGGAUGGUCCGGUGAAAUCUUCGGAUAGCUGGUAGUUGGCUUGCCAUCUACUGCUAAAAGUUGCUUAAACCUUAUCAUCUAGAGGAACAAGAAGUCGUAACA
This 319-nucleotide ribosomal RNA is filed under the name uncultured eukaryote. RNAcentral describes it as "partial 18S ribosomal RNA". It matches the Rfam family "Eukaryotic small subunit ribosomal RNA", at positions 1470 to 1796 of the family's 1831-position model. The record is from RNAcentral.